Molecule: ribosomal RNA, 699 nt
Filed under: uncultured Hyphomonas sp.
Lineage: Bacteria; Pseudomonadati; Pseudomonadota; Alphaproteobacteria; Hyphomonadales; Hyphomonadaceae
Description: bacterial SSU rRNA
Rfam family: Bacterial small subunit ribosomal RNA
Source: RNAcentral
AGUGGCAGACGGGUGAGUAACGCGUGGGAACGUACCUUUCGCUAAGGAAUAGCUCCGGGAAACUGGUGGUAAUACCUUAUACGCCCUUAGGGGGAAAGAUUUAUCGGCGAAAGAUCGGCCCGCGUUGGAUUAGCUAGUUGGUGAGGUAAUGGCUCACAAAGGCGACGAUCCAUAGCUGGUCUGAGAGGAUGAUCAGCCACACUGGGACUGAGACACGGCCCAGACUCCUACGGGAGGCAGCAGUGGGGAAUCUUGCACAAUGGGCGAAAGCCUGAUGCAGCCAUGCCGCGUGAAUGAUGAAGGCCUUAGGGUUGUAAAAUUCUUUCGUCAGGGAUGAUAAUGACCGUACCUGAAGAAGAAGCCCCGGCUAACUUCGUGCCAGCAGCCGCGGUAAUACGAAGGGGGCUAGCGUUGUUCGGAAUUACUGGGCGUAAAGCGCACGUAGGCGGACUUUUAAGUCAGGUGUGAAAUCCCGGGGCUCAACCUCGGAACUGCAUUUGAAACUGGAAGUCUUGAGAUCAGGAGAGGUUGGCGGAAUACCGAGUGUAGAGGUGAAAUUCGUAGAUAUUCGGUGGAACACCAGUGGCGAAGGCGGCUAACUGGACUGAUACUGACGCUGAGGUGCGAAAGUGUGGGGAGCAAACAGGAUUAGAUACCCUGGUAGUCCACACCGUAAACGAUGAGAGCUAGUUGUUGGCA